Molecule: ribosomal RNA, 462 nt
Filed under: uncultured bacterium
Lineage: Bacteria
Description: partial 16S ribosomal RNA
Rfam family: Bacterial small subunit ribosomal RNA
Source: RNAcentral
GACGAACGCUGGCGGCGUGCUUAACACAUGCAAGUCGAACGGAAAGGCCCUGCUUUUGUGGGGUGCUCGAGUGGCGAACGGGUGAGUAACACGUGAGUAACCUGCCCUUGACUUUGGGAUAACUUCAGGAAACUGGGGCUAAUACCGGAUAGGAGCUCCUGCUGCAUGGUGGGGGUUGGAAAGUUUCGGCGGUUGGGGAUGGACUCGCGGCUUAUCAGCUUGUUGGUGGGGUAGUGGCUUACCAAGGCUUUGACGGGUAGCCGGCCUGAGAGGGUGACCGGCCACAUUGGGACUGAGAUACGGCCCCGACUCCUACGGGAGGCAGCAGUGGGGAAUAUUGCACAAUGGGCGGAAGCCUGAUGCAGCAACGCCGCGUGCGGGAUGACGGCCUUCGGGUUGUAAACCGCUUUCGCCUGUGACGAAGCGUGAGUGACGGUAAUGGGUAAAGAAGCACCGGCUAAC